UGCAGUCGAGCGGUAACAGGGGAAGCUUGCUUCCCGCUGACGAGCGGCGGACGGGUGAGUAAUGCUUAGGAAUCUGCCCAGUAGUGGGGGAUAGCCCGGGGAAACCCGGAUUAAUACCGCAUACGUCCUACGGGAGAAAGCAGGGGAUCUUCGGACCUUGCGCUAUUGGAUGAGCCUAAGUCGGAUUAGCUAGUUGGUGGGGUAAAGGCCUACCAAGGCGACGAUCCGUAGCUGGUCUGAGAGGAUGAUCAGCCACAUCGGGACUGAGACACGGCCCGAACUCCUACGGGAGGCAGCAGUGGGGAAUAUUGGACAAUGGGGGCAACCCUGAUCCAGCCAUGCCGCGUGUGUGAAGAAGGCUUUCGGGUUGUAAAGCACUUUCAGUAGGGAGGAAAACCUUAUGGUUAAUACCCAUGAGGCUUGACGUUACCUACAGAAGAAGCACCGGCUAACUCCGUGCCAGCAGCCGCGGUAAUACGGAGGGUGCAAGCGUUAAUCGGAAUUACUGGGCGUAAAGCGCGCGUAGGUGGUUUGGUAAGCGAGAUGUGAAAGCCCCGGGCUUAACCUGGGAACGGCAUUUCGAACUGUCAGACUAGAGUGUGGUAGAGGGUAGUGGAAAUAUUCCUGUGUAGCGGUGAAAUGCGUAGAUAUAGGAAGGAACACCAGUGGCGAAGGGCGGCUACCUGGGACCAACACUGACACUGAGGUGCGAAAGCGUGGGGAGCAGA
This 728-nucleotide ribosomal RNA is filed under the name Marinobacter nauticus. RNAcentral's name for it is "bacterial SSU rRNA". It matches the Rfam family "Bacterial small subunit ribosomal RNA", at positions 56 to 772 of the family's 1533-position model. The record is from RNAcentral. Lineage: Bacteria; Pseudomonadati; Pseudomonadota; Gammaproteobacteria; Pseudomonadales; Marinobacteraceae.